Molecule: long non-coding RNA, 1304 nt
Organism: Osmia lignaria (orchard mason bee)
Lineage: Eukaryota; Metazoa; Arthropoda; Insecta; Hymenoptera; Megachilidae
Source: RefSeq, a predicted model, not a curated record
GCCAAUUUCUCCUAUUUAAUGACAUUUGAAGAUUCUGAAAAAAAUCAGAGACAUUUUUAUUUGUGAGGCACAUAAUACAGAUCUGGAUUCAGAUCCGCGACUCCUUCCAUACAAAAUCGCCAUUUUUCAGCAUUUUUUGACGUUUUUGAUUUUUCACGGCUUCAGUUUUCAAUCUAAAAAUCUGAAAAAAUUCUGUAUUAUGUGCCUCACAAAUAGAAAUGCCUCUGAUUUUUUUCAGCAUCUUCGAAUGUCAUUAAAUAGGAGAAAUUGGCCAAAUUGGCGUGCCGAACUUUAACACAGGGGAUGGCAGUCUUUAAUAGUAUCUCGUCGGUGUCUGUAGUCACUGGACCAGCUUAGAAAUAAGUUGCGACUGUGAAUACCGGCCUAUAAGUUUGUUUUAUAAUAAAUUGUUUGGAUUUGCGUCUCAAGCACCCCAGCGGCAAACGCGCGGCUCGCGAGAGAGUCUAGCUGUGUUGUACACGUGGGUGCUGAUUAUACGUAGAGAAGGGUUGAGAACACAAAUGAACGAAACAAAUACGAUUAUGUAGAUAAACACAAAACUUUAUUAUAAUAAAAAUGAAUAAAGUAAAAAUAAACGAUGAUGUGUAAAAAGAGUGCACGUAGAGCUCGGCGUAGCGAAAGCAAGGACAUCGACUAGUCGCGAGGUAGCGUAGACAAAGAAGUGAGAAAAAAUCGGAGAAAGCGAAGAAAGCUCGCGUUCGUAGGGGGUGUGAAACCGGUGCGUACGUAGCACGCUAGAAGGUUGCACGUGGUACGAGGACUUGCUUCCGCUCGUGGUGCUGCCGCCUGUCGGACAGCAAAGCAGACUCCAUGGACUGUGACGGUUGAUCAAGAGACGAGGGUGCCACAAAAUAAUUGUUGUGCGCAUGCGCAAAAUAUACUCAGGACUCCUGCCAACAGAGAGCGUAUCGGCGCGUUACGCAUAGCGGAAAUCGUUUGAAUUUUCUGUUUCAUAUUCUAUGGGCAAAAGUUCUUUUAAUUUUUUGGAGCAACUGUCAUUGUAAUGGUCUUUUAUAAUAAAAUAAGAUACUGUUGAUGACCACGGUUUCUACAAUGAGGAUGGUUGUGUUAGUCAUGUCGGUAUCGGUAGAAUUCUAUGUAUUCUGCGAAAGUUUUUAAUUAAUAUUUCCAAAACUACUGAGCUGAUGUGGAUACCGUUUUAAAUUUGGAGUCUUCCCCCUCUCCUGGGGCAAUUCAAAUAAUAAUGUUUUUUCGUUAAUUAUUAAAUUUGAAAUAUUUAUUUUUCAUUUUUAACUAUUUCUUAAUAAAUGUUUAUUUUUGUA